UACGAAGGUGGCAAGCGUUACUCGGAAUUACUAGGCGUAAAGGGCAGGUAGGUGGUUUGAUAAGUCUGUUGUGAAAGCUCCCGGCUUAACUGGGAGAGGUCAACAGAAACUAUCAGGCUUGAGUAUAGGAGAGGGUACUGGAAUUCCCGGUGUAGCGGUGAAAUGCGCAGAGAUCGGGAGGAACACCUAUGGCGAAAGCAGGUACCUGGACUAUUACUGACACUCAGCUGCGAAAGCUAGGGGAGCAAACAGG
This 253-nucleotide ribosomal RNA is filed under the name uncultured bacterium. RNAcentral describes it as "partial 16S ribosomal RNA". It matches the Rfam family "Bacterial small subunit ribosomal RNA", at positions 524 to 776 of the family's 1533-position model. The record is from RNAcentral.